GGGCCACAUGGGGUGAGGUGGGGGCGGGGAAGGCUGGGGUUGCGGUUGCCUAGGAGACGCCACCAGGAUCCAGCAUUCAUCCUUCUCUACCCCGAGGUGAGGGGAGAGAGAGGGAGGAUGGGCUGUGAAGGCAAGGUGGAGUCCCGGGUGCGGAGAGACCUGGCCCAACACACCGGAAGUCCUGGGCUCGGUGUGUUCUCCCAGCAGAUGAGAAGAAGUUUUUUCCUGACAAAAAGAAAAAAUGAAAAAUAGAAGAGGUGAGAAAAGACUUUUGAAAAACCCAUCUUCUUGAUAUGGCAUCCUCUCUGCACUAUCUCCAGAACCUGGCACUUACAGUUCCACAGCACUCAGGAAGAGGAUGAGAAAUCGACCACUGCCUGCCGAGCCUUUGUCAGGCACCCCAGGAGAAGCCAUGAAGAUUUGUGGACUUUCCAUGUCCUGAAGGUGUUGGGCAUCAUCACAAGUCAGUUCCAGAAACUUUCUUCCUCACAUUGACCAAGCCUUGGAACAAAGAAAAUGAGCUCAUUCUGCAGAUGAGGAAAGUGAGGCAAACAGGGUGAAGUGACUUGUGCAAGAUCACACAACCAGGACGUGUCUGAGGCGGAUUUGGAGUCUUCCUGACUCCACUCCAGAACACAGGUGGUCACACCAUCCCUAACUUCUCAGGAAAGGAGG
Sarcophilus harrisii (Tasmanian devil) is the source of this 675-nucleotide long non-coding RNA. RefSeq lists it as uncharacterized. The transcript has 6 exons. Lineage: Eukaryota; Metazoa; Chordata; Mammalia; Dasyuromorphia; Dasyuridae. The record is from RefSeq and is a predicted model, not a curated record.